GGCGAACGGGUGAGUAACGUAUCGGAACGAGCCUACCAGCGGGGGAUAACUAAUCCAAAGAGUAGCUAAUACCGCAUACGCCCUACGGGGGAAANNNNNNNAUCGCCGACCUCUCACCAUUAGAGCGGCCGAUAUCGGAUUAGAUAGUUGGGGAGGGAGAGGAUCACCCAGGCGACGAUCCGUACCUGGUUUGAGAGGACGACCAGCCCCACUGGGACUGAGACGCGGCCCAGACCCCUACCGGAGGCAGCAGUGGGGAAUUUUGGAUAAUGGGGGAAACCCUGAUCCAGCCAUUCCCCGUGUGCGAUGAAGGCCUUCGGGUUGUAAAGCACUUUUGGCAGGAAAGAAAUCGCACGGGUUAAUAACCUGCGUGGAUGACGGUACCUGCCAAUAAGCACCGGCUAACUACAUGACAUCCCCCGCGCCACUACGAUAGGUGGGAGGGUUAAUCUGAAUUACUGGGCGUAAAGCGCGCGCAGGCGGUUCGGAUACAACGAUGUGAAAUCGCAAGCCUUAGCCUUGGAACUGCAUUCUUAACUAGUGGCUGUAGAGCAUGUCAUAGGGGGGAGGAUUUCCGAGUGCACCUCGGAAAUGCGUAUAUGUGUGGAUGAACACAGAUGGCGAAGGGAGCCACCUGGCAUCAUAGUGACGCUCAUGCACUACAAGCGUGGGGAGCAACAGGAUUAGAUAGCCUG
RNAcentral lists this ribosomal RNA (695 nucleotides) under uncultured bacterium. RNAcentral describes it as "bacterial SSU rRNA". It matches the Rfam family "Bacterial small subunit ribosomal RNA", at positions 97 to 789 of the family's 1533-position model. The record is from RNAcentral.